Non-coding RNA from Pelobates cultripes (western spadefoot toad), 1961 nucleotides. Lineage: Eukaryota; Metazoa; Chordata; Amphibia; Anura; Pelobatidae. The record is from the annotation of a GenBank genome assembly.
GCUAUAUUAACCAAGAUGAAUAUGUAUGUAUAAUAUAUUUAUUUGCACUUUUGAGCACUUUUUUGGUGCGAUUUACCACUUUUCUUAUUCUAUAUUUCAGUUCACUAAAAGCAGGUAUUGGGAAAUCCUGCCGGUUCACUGCUGCCUCAAAUUUUGUUAUAUAGAGAGUGCCUAACCCAUUCUUUAUUCGAUUAACCCUAUGCGGCACAACUCCAAACCUGUAAGUAAUGGACCAUGAAUCUAGUGCCUGCCUCGAAUUUGACCACCCACUCCAGAAAAGUACUGAACAUGUCAAAGUACGCACACGAGAUGGAACAACCCAUCGGCAAACACAGAUUGACUAAAUACUGCCCUGAUGACAGUCGAGGUGAAUGGGCAAUAACUGAAUAGCCACUUCCACGUCCACAUUGGCCAUCAACGCCCCACUUGCCCGCACACUGAACCAACUCAACCGCUUGGUCGAAUGAUGCAUACGACACCGCGGAAUGCAAAAGGCCCUCAACCAAUUCCCAAAAGUUUUGGGUAUCUUACGAUAGCGGCACCUUUUCUCCUCUUCCUCCUUCUUGCCAUUUUUUUAUCCUCUUCCUUCAUGUCCAAGUAUUUGUCCAGAGGAAGAAGAGAAAAGAUCUCCAGAAAUUUCCCCUUCCAUGUCCUCUCCCUUAGCUCUGGUUGGCCGAAGCCAACUAAAGCCACUGUACCCCGGGCAGAACUGCUACUAGCAACCAGAACCGCCACUGCCCACACACCCCUGCCUAGGUGCCCAAACCUGCCCGAAGCUAACGCUUCUACCCAAACCCCUGCUCCAUUCUAGAAAGGACUUUAGACACUCUAAAAGAUCCUCAGAAGGCUUAACAGAAGAUGACUCACCAUUGGAACCUCUUGCUGCUGAAGACCGUGAGGCAGUAUCCAGCCCACCUCCAUUCAAGCCCAGGCGCGAUGGUGCCUCCAGCCGUAGAUCCACAUCAUGAGGUCUUACCCGGACCGUAGGCGACCGUCUUGGUGACCUGGAAUGAGGAAAGACUCUGGGUAGGCCGUCCGACUGAGUCCUGGCCUCCUGACCACUAUGGCUGUGCCCGUCCCCACCAUCAGUUCCUCAUAGCCACCAUGAGAACUCCUGCCAGGUGAGCCGAAUCUAACAGGGGAUCCCAAAUUAUGCUCCCAGGUAGCUACACUAGGGGACCUACCCACUGUGAUAGCCCGCUUGGUCGCUAUGGCAACUCAUUUAUAGUGAAUUUAUAGUGUGACCCCUGUCACCCAGCACCCCCGGGGGCCUGAUGUGAUAGUCCUGAGUGUGGCGCUCCAUGCCCACCCGUGAUGGGGGUCUGUCCCACUGCCUGCUCCAUGCUCUAAUGGGUAUGGAUACCUGCCUACCCAAUUCCCAACUCAGGUCCCCAUCCCUGGGCUCUCUCCUUGGGUCACCUCUACCCACGCUAGGCGACCUGGACGCCGACCUGUGAGGUGACCCUGGGGACAAACUUCUAUCCCAUGACCUGCCUUUCCACCACCCGCUUGCUGCCCCGUGACUUGCGACCUAUAGGGAUGGAGGACGACUCACGAAGUGUGUCACCAGCUGGAACCACAUGUCCAACAGUGCUCCCAGCGCCUCCAUUGCCUGCUGCAGAGCCUGCUGUGGCUGUCCCUGCCUUUCUCCCUCCAGCCACUCACCUAGAAUCAUGCUCAUUCCUGUGAAUGCAGGCUGAACACGACAUCCUGCCUCCAUGCUCACCUGUUCGUGGCCCAAACGUUCACCUCCAGCCGAAUCCAGUUCAUUGCCAGACCGUUCCCCUCCUUCGCAGCCCGAAUGUGCAGUCUCAGGAAGACAGCCAGACCAUGUGGCAACACGGCAACACCGGCCAUGACCUCCCAAACUCCCGCAGCUCACCGUAGUCUCGGGCCUUGGAUUCAGGAACUGACUCAACCUCUUCCUCCUGCUGGAGCCCGCACUGGGGCUAAGACUUUGC